This is a long non-coding RNA of Bubalus bubalis (water buffalo), 837 nucleotides long. RefSeq lists it as uncharacterized. The record is from RefSeq and is a predicted model, not a curated record. The transcript has 2 exons. Lineage: Eukaryota; Metazoa; Chordata; Mammalia; Artiodactyla; Bovidae.
UGUUGCCCACUAUAGCCUGUCUAUAAAAACUCUGUAAGCCCUUUGUUCAGGGCUCAGAGCUUGGAGUGUUAACUCUUCUGGGCCUGCCGGCGUAAUAAACCCGAGUUCUCCAACUCUCUGAAUGUGGUGCUUGGUUUCUCGAGUACUGGUUUCUGCAACAAUAACAGGUUUCUCAGGAGACAGGUUAACCAGUGGUAGUAAGCUGAAGAUGGCGUGUGGAGGAAUCUUGUGCUCUAACUCCCUAAGAGGUCACUGCUGCUGAGCUGGAAUGUAAUCACACUUCUGCUGUGUGCUGAGUUUUACCUCUGAGGGAAAGGACGGACAUCUGCCGCCAGGCACAUGAGCCCUUGAUAUCAGUAAUAAGUAAUUUCAAACAUAAAGUCAGCUUUUCAAUGGGCUAGCCCAUGUACACUUUUCCUAUCAUCUUACCAUGUAAUUUCCAUGUAGGAUUCUCUUUUCUAACAACUGGGCAUCACUGAGAAAUAAUGAACUUUAGGUAUUUUUCCUCUUUGUUUUCCUCUUGGGUCAGCUGUUUACAUAGUUAUUCUUGGGGUCAUAGUUAUCAAAUGAAGUGACAGCUUUAGUAGCCAAAAUCAAUGUCUCAGGACUCGGAGAAGGACCACAAUUUAAAGAGUUAUGAGUGGGUAUUUGAAAAUGACUUUCUCUUCAUCAGCAUAUGAAUACUCUCGAUUUUUUCUUGUGUUUUUAUUUUUUUUGAGGAAGCUGGGGAGGAGCUGUAAUGUACGGGGCUCUUGCCUUACAUAUGAACUUAUGGCUACUUGCUCUCAAACAACCAGAGAGAAAUAACCAAAGAUUAAUAAAUGCUGCUCAAUUUCA